UACCUACGGGAGGCAGCAGUAGGGAAUCUUCCACAAUGGACGAAAGUCUGAUGGAGCAACGCCGCGUGAGCGAAGAAGGGUUUCGGCUCGUAAAGCUCUGUUGGUAGUGAAGAAAGAUAGAGGUAGUAACUGGCCUUUAUUUGACGGUAAUUACUUAGAAAGUCACGGCUAACUACGUGCCAGCAGCCGCGGUAAUACGUAGGUGGCAAGUGGUGUCCGGAUUUAUUGGGCGUAAAGCGAGUGCAGGCGGAU
This 252-nucleotide ribosomal RNA is filed under the name uncultured bacterium. RNAcentral describes it as "partial 16S ribosomal RNA". It matches the Rfam family "Bacterial small subunit ribosomal RNA", at positions 335 to 580 of the family's 1533-position model. The record is from RNAcentral.